Molecule: transfer RNA, 73 nt
Filed under: Colletotrichum orbiculare MAFF 240422
Lineage: Eukaryota; Fungi; Ascomycota; Sordariomycetes; Glomerellales; Glomerellaceae
Description: tRNA-Met (CAT) (tRNA-Met-CAT-2-1)
Rfam family: tRNA
About the family: Transfer RNA (tRNA) molecules are approximately 80 nucleotides in length. Their secondary structure includes four short double-helical elements and three loops (D, anti-codon, and T loops). Further hydrogen bonds mediate the characteristic L-shaped molecular structure. tRNAs have two regions of fundamental functional importance: the anti-codon, which is responsible for specific mRNA codon recognition, and the 3' end, to which the tRNAs corresponding amino acid is attached (by aminoacyl-tRNA synthetases). tRNAs cope with the degeneracy of the genetic code in two manners: having more than one tRNA (with a specific anti-codon) for a particular amino acid; and 'wobble' base-pairing, i.e. permitting non-standard base-pairing at the 3rd anti-codon position.
Source: RNAcentral
GUCUUCGUGGCUCAGUCGGUAGAGCGUUGGUCUCAUAAUCCAAAGGUCGAGAGUUCGAGCCUCUCUGAGGACA